CCGCAUGGCUCAGGGGGAAAAGGAGCAAUUCGCUUCAGGAUGGAUUCGCGUCCAAUUAGCUAGAUGGUGAGGUAAUGGCCCACCAUGGCGACGAUUGGUAGCCGGACUGAGAGGUUGACGGGCCACAUUGGGACUGAGACACGGCCCAGACUCCUACGGGAGGCAGCAGUGGGGAAUAUUGCACAAUGGGGGAAACCCUGAUGCAGCGACGCCGCGUGGAGGAAGAAGGUCUUCGGAUUGUAAACUCCUGUCGUUGGGGACGAUAAUGACGGUACCCAACAAGAAAGCCACGGCUAACUACGUGCCAGCAGCCGCGGUAAAACGUAGGUGGCAAGCGUUGUCCGGAAUUACUGGGUGUAAAGGGAGCGCAGGCGGAAGGACAAGUUGGAAGUGAAACCCACGGGCUCAACCCGUGAACUGCUUUCAAAACUGUUUUUCUUGAGUGGUGUAGAGGUAGGCGGAAUUCCCGGUGUAGCGGUGGAAUGCGUAGAUAUCGGGAGGAACACCAGUGGCGAAGGCGGCCUACUGGGCACUAACUGACGCUGAGGCUCGAAAGCAUGGGUAGCAAACAGGAUUAGAUACCCUGGUAGUCCAUGCCGUAAACGAUGAUUACUAGGUGUGGGAGGAUUGACCCCUUCCGUGCCGCAGUUAACACAAUAAGUAAUCCACCUGGGGAGUA
This 679-nucleotide ribosomal RNA is filed under the name uncultured bacterium. RNAcentral's name for it is "bacterial SSU rRNA". It matches the Rfam family "Bacterial small subunit ribosomal RNA", at positions 186 to 882 of the family's 1533-position model. The record is from RNAcentral.